This 323-nucleotide ribosomal RNA is filed under the name uncultured bacterium. RNAcentral's name for it is "bacterial SSU rRNA". It matches the Rfam family "Bacterial small subunit ribosomal RNA", at positions 28 to 334 of the family's 1533-position model. The record is from RNAcentral.
GAUGAACGCUGGCGGCGUGCCUAACACAUGCAAGUCGAGCGAAGCGAUUUAACGGAAGUUUUCGGAUGGAAGUUAAAUUGACUGAGCGGGCGACGGGUGAGUACGCGUGGGUAACCUGCCUCAUACAGGGGGAUAACAGUUAGAAAUGACUGCUAAUACCGCAUAAGCGCACAGCAUCGCAUGAUGCAGUGUGAAAAACUCCGGUGGUAUGAGAUGGACCCGCGUCUGAUUAGCUAGUUGGUGAGGUAACGGCUCACCAAGGCGACGAUCAGUAGCCGACCUGAGAGGGUGAUCGGCCACAUUGGGACUGAGACACGGCCCAA